RNAcentral lists this ribosomal RNA (368 nucleotides) under uncultured Symbiodinium. RNAcentral describes it as "partial Eukaryotic small subunit ribosomal RNA". It matches the Rfam family "Eukaryotic small subunit ribosomal RNA", at positions 1283 to 1676 of the family's 1831-position model. Lineage: Eukaryota; Dinophyceae; Suessiales; Symbiodiniaceae. The record is from RNAcentral.
CAUGGCCGUUCUUAGUUGGUGGAGUGAUUUGUCUGGCUAAUUCCGUUAACGAACGAGACCUUAACUUGCUAAAUAGUUACGCGAAUCUCGAUUCGUGGUAAACUUCUUAGAGGGACUGUUGGUAUCCAACCAAAGUCAGGAAGGCAAUAACAGGUCUGUGAUGUCCUUAGAUGUUCUGGGCCGCACGCGCGCUACACUGAUGCAUUCAACGAGUUUUACCUUGGCCGAGAGGCCUGGGCAAUCUUUUAAACCUGCAUCGUGAUAGGGAUAGAUUAUUGCAAUUUUUAAUCUUGAACGAGGAAUUCCUAGUAAACGCAGAUCAUCAAUCUGCAUUGAUUACGUCCCUGCCCUUUGUACACACCGCCCGU